RNAcentral lists this ribosomal RNA (497 nucleotides) under uncultured bacterium. RNAcentral's name for it is "partial 16S ribosomal RNA". It matches the Rfam family "Bacterial small subunit ribosomal RNA", at positions 28 to 507 of the family's 1533-position model. The record is from RNAcentral.
GAUGAACGCUGGCGGCGUGCCUAAUACAUGCCAGUCGAGCGAACAGACGAGGAGCUUGCUCCUCUGACGUUAGCGGCGGACGGGUGAGUAACACGUGGAUAACCUACCUAUAAGACUGGGAUAACUUCGGGAAACCGGAGCUAAUACCGGAUAAUAUAUUGAACCGCAUGGUUCAAUAGUGAAAGACGGUUUUGCUGUCACUUAUAGAUGGAUCCGCGCCGCAUUAGCUAGUUGGUAAGGUAACGGCUUACCAAGGCAACGAUGCGUAGCCGACCUGAGAGGGUGAUCGGCCACACUGGAACUGAGACACGGUCCAGACUCCUACGGGAGGCAGCAGUAGGGAAUCUUCCGCAAUGGGCGAAAGCUUGGCGGAGCAACGCCGCGUGAGUGAUGAAGGUCUUCGGAUCGUAAAACUCUGUUAUUAGGGAAGAACAAAUGUGUAAGUAACUAUGCACGUCUUGACGGUACCUAAUCAGAAAGCCACGGCUAACUACGUG